UGGAAGGUCAAAGAUCACAGUUCCCACUGG
RNAcentral lists this non-coding RNA (30 nucleotides) under Rattus norvegicus (Norway rat). The record is from RNAcentral. Lineage: Eukaryota; Metazoa; Chordata; Mammalia; Rodentia; Muridae.